This 301-nucleotide ribosomal RNA is filed under the name uncultured bacterium. RNAcentral's name for it is "partial 16S ribosomal RNA". It matches the Rfam family "Bacterial small subunit ribosomal RNA", at positions 509 to 807 of the family's 1533-position model. The record is from RNAcentral.
CAGUAGCCGCGGUAACACGAAGGGUGCAAGCGUUAAUCGGAAUUACUGGGCGUAAAGCGUGCGUAGGCGGUUUGUUAAGUCUGUUGUGAAAUCCCCGGGCUCAACCUGGGAAUGGCAAUGGAUACUGGCAAGCUAGAGUGUGUCAGAGGAUGGUGGAAUUCCCGGUGUAGCGGUGAAAUGCGUAGAGAUCGGGAGGAACAUCAGUGGCGAAGGCGGCCAUCUGGGACAACACUGACGCUGAGGCACGAAAGCGUGGGGAGCAAACAGGAUUAGAUACCCCCGUAGUCCCUGUCUCUUAUAC